CGGCGAGUGAGCGGCAAAGCUCAAUUUGAAAUCUAGCACCUUCGGUGUUUGAGUUGUAAUUUGAAGAUGGUAACCUUGGGUUUGGCUCUUGUCUAUGUUCCUUGGAACAGGACGUCAUAGAGGGUGAGAAUCCCGUCUGAUGAGAUGCCCAUUCCUAUGUAAGGUGCUAUCGAAGAGUCGAGUUGUUUGGGAAUGCAGCUCUAAGUGGGUGGUAAAUUCCAUCUAAAGCUAAAUAUUGGCGAGAGACCGAUAGCGAACAAGUACAGUGAUGGAAAGAUGAAAAGAACUUUGAAAAGAGAGUGAAAAAGUACGUGAAAUUGUUGAAAGGGAAGGGCAUUAGAUCAGACUUGGUGUUUUACGAUUAUCUUCUCUUCUUGAGUUGUGCACUCGUAUUUCACUGGGCCAGCAUCGAUUCGGAUGGCAAGAUAAUGGCAGUUGAAUGUGGCUUCACUUCGGUGGAGUGUUAUAGCUUCUGCUGAUAUUGCCUGUCUGGAUCGAGGGCUGCGUCUUUUGACUAGGAUGCUGGCGUAAUGAUCUAAUGCCGCCCG
RNAcentral lists this ribosomal RNA (548 nucleotides) under Hansenula anomala. RNAcentral describes it as "Wickerhamomyces anomalus partial large subunit ribosomal RNA". It matches the Rfam family "Eukaryotic large subunit ribosomal RNA", at positions 87 to 651 of the family's 3401-position model. The record is from RNAcentral. Lineage: Eukaryota; Fungi; Ascomycota; Saccharomycetes; Phaffomycetales; Wickerhamomycetaceae.